CAAAAAAACUGAAAUGGUUUCAUCUGUCCCAGCUGAAAAUAAAUCUGUCUUAAAUGAACAUCAGGAGACAUCUAAACAGUGUGAGCAAAAAAUUGCCAUAGAGAAUGAAUGGAAACCAGCUGAUAUAUUCAGUACUCUGGGGGAAAGGGAACGUGAUAGAAGUUCGUCGGAAGCAAAAAAAGCCCAGUGGAGGAAAGAGCUAGAUGAACAGGUUGCUUUAAAGAAGAAAGAAAAAGAAGUUUCUGAAAAAUGGAAUGAUCCUUGGAAAAAAUCUGAAAGUGAUAAAAUAAUAUGGGAAAAACAUCAAAUUCUUGACCAAUCUAGGCUCUUCAAGCAUUCUAUCACAGUCUCGUAGCCAGGUUAUGGUGGUCCAAGCUGAUGGGGCAUUCACAACUUAGAGCUAGUCAGACUUUAGAGGUAAGUCCUAAGUGUCAGUACUUUGGAUAUUUAAACCUUUUAGUAUUUGACCUCUAACCUAUUUUCCUUGAAGGAGAGAAUCUAAGUCCUCCUUAUUUUUAGUUAUCAGUUAAUUUUUACUUGAGUGUAUUAUGCUUCAUUUGCCUUCAUUUCUUUUUUACAUUUACUAUCCCUUCCUCCUUGUGAACAUUUACAUUUUAGCAAAUGUAUUCUGAAAAUAAUGUAGUAACCUGAAGGGAUGAUUCUCCUAAAGAGAUGAUUCUGGUGGUAGAAAUUUUUGGCACUAUGGCCUAAUUAGGUAAAUUUCUUAUAGAACCCCUUCAAGUUAAAUUUUGUGCAUGGCUGUCUGUUCUGCUUCAUGUAGAGCUGACUUGCCUACAUUGAAUACUUUUGUUGUCUGUUGAUAAUUUUACAUUAACAAAAGGAAUGAAAUCUGAAUUGCAUUUGCCCCCAAUCCCAAAAGCACAUUGACUGAAAAGGCAAUAAGGUUGUCUUGGUAGAACUC
Molecule: small RNA, 922 nt
Filed under: Pan troglodytes (chimpanzee)
Lineage: Eukaryota; Metazoa; Chordata; Mammalia; Primates; Hominidae
Description: retained intron
Source: RNAcentral